RNAcentral lists this ribosomal RNA (256 nucleotides) under uncultured bacterium. RNAcentral describes it as "partial 16S ribosomal RNA". It matches the Rfam family "Bacterial small subunit ribosomal RNA", at positions 793 to 1055 of the family's 1533-position model. The record is from RNAcentral.
GUCCACGCCGUAAACGAUGGAUACUAGCUGUUCGGGAGCAAUUCUGAGUGGCUAAGCGAAAGUGAUAAGUAUCCCACCUGGGGAGUACGUUCGCAAGAAUGAAACUCAAAGGAAUUGACGGGGGCCCGCACAAGCGGUGGAGCAUGUGGUUUAAUUCGAUGAUACGCGAGGAACCUUACCAGGGCUUAAAUGUAGUCUGACAGGCUUGGAAACAGGUUUUUCUCGGACAGAUUACAAGGUGCUGCAUGGUUGUCGU